GCAUCUUUAGCUUAAAUUGGCAAAGUAUCUGUUUUCGGCACAGUUUGAUACUGGUUCGAAUCCGGUAAGAUGUU
This 74-nucleotide transfer RNA is filed under the name Agrocybe chaxingu. It matches the Rfam family "tRNA". From Rfam's summary of the family: Transfer RNA (tRNA) molecules are approximately 80 nucleotides in length. Their secondary structure includes four short double-helical elements and three loops (D, anti-codon, and T loops). RNAcentral also lists the same sequence under 1 other name. The record is from Rfam by way of RNAcentral. Lineage: Eukaryota; Fungi; Basidiomycota; Agaricomycetes; Agaricales; Agrocybaceae.